Molecule: transfer RNA, 73 nt
Filed under: Sarcophilus harrisii (Tasmanian devil)
Lineage: Eukaryota; Metazoa; Chordata; Mammalia; Dasyuromorphia; Dasyuridae
Rfam family: tRNA
About the family: Transfer RNA (tRNA) molecules are approximately 80 nucleotides in length. Their secondary structure includes four short double-helical elements and three loops (D, anti-codon, and T loops).
Source: Rfam by way of RNAcentral
GCCCAGAUGGCUUAGUCAGUAGAGCAUGAGAUUCUUAAUCUCAAAGUUGUGGAUUCAUUCCCUACAUUGGGCG